Suncus etruscus (white-toothed pygmy shrew) is the source of this 214-nucleotide small nucleolar RNA. RefSeq annotates it as small nucleolar RNA U3. NCBI's taxonomy places the organism in Eukaryota, Metazoa, Chordata, Mammalia, Eulipotyphla, Soricidae. The transcript has a single exon. The record is from RefSeq and is a predicted model, not a curated record.
AAAACUAUACUUUCAGGAAUCAUUUCUAUAGUAUGUAACUAGAGAAGUUUCUCUGAUCGUGUAGAGCACCCGAAGCCACGAGGAGGAGCCAGAGCGUCCUCUCCUGAGCGUGAAGUCGACUUUAGGUGUUGCUUUUUCGGCUGCCUCUUGCCAUUGAUGAUCGUUCUUCCCUUCCUUUGGAAGGGGUAGAGGGAGAGGACGCAGUCUAAGAGGU